Molecule: ribosomal RNA, 465 nt
Filed under: Vreelandella stevensii
Lineage: Bacteria; Pseudomonadati; Pseudomonadota; Gammaproteobacteria; Oceanospirillales; Halomonadaceae
Description: partial 16S ribosomal RNA
Rfam family: Bacterial small subunit ribosomal RNA
Source: RNAcentral
CCUACGGGAGGCAGCAGUGGGGAAUAUUGGACAAUGGGGGGAACCCUGAUCCAGCCAUGCCGCGUGUGUGAAGAAGGCCCUCGGGUUGUAAAGCACUUUCAGUGAGGAAGAACGCCUGGUGGUUAAUACCCAUCAGGAAAGACAUCACUCACAGAAGAAGCACCGGCUAACUCCGUGCCAGCAGCCGCGGUAAUACGGAGGGUGCGAGCGUUAAUCGGAAUUACUGGGCGUAAAGCGCGCGUAGGUGGCUUGAUAAGCCGGUUGUGAAAGCCCCGGGCUCAACCUGGGAACGGCAUCCGGAACUGUCAAGCUAGAGUGCAGGAGAGGAAGGUAGAAUUCCCGGUGCAGCGGUGAAAUGCGUAGAGAUCGGGAGGAAUACCAGUGGCGAAGGCGGCCUUCUGGACUGACACUGACACUGAGGUGCGAAAGCGUGGGUAGCAAACAGGAUUAGAUACCCGAGUAGUC